UGGGGAAUAUUGCACAAUGGGCGCAAGCCUGAUGCAGCCAUGUCGCGUGUAUGAAGAAGGCCUUCGGGUUGUAAAGUACUUUCAGCGGGGAGGAAGGGAGUAAAGUUAAUACCUUUGCUCAUUGACGUUACCCGCAGAAGAAGCACCGGCUAACUCCGUGCCAGCAGCCGCGGUAAUACGGAGGGUGCAAGCGUUAAUCGGAAUUACUGGGCGUAAAGCGCACGCAGGCGGUUUGUUAAGUCAGAUGUGAAAUCCCCGGGCUCAACCUGGGAACUGCAUCUGAUACUGGCAAGCUUGAGUCUCGUAGAGGGGGGUAGAAUUCCAGGUGUAGCGAUGAAAUGCGUAGAGAUCUGGAGGAAUAACGGUGGCGAAGGCGGCCCCCUGGACGAAGACUGACGCUCAGGUGCGAAAGCGUGGGGAGCAAACAGG
RNAcentral lists this ribosomal RNA (429 nucleotides) under Chloroflexota bacterium. Its description in RNAcentral is "Chloroflexi bacterium partial 16S ribosomal RNA". It matches the Rfam family "Bacterial small subunit ribosomal RNA", at positions 355 to 776 of the family's 1533-position model. Lineage: Bacteria; Bacillati; Chloroflexota. The record is from RNAcentral.